Molecule: ribosomal RNA, 449 nt
Filed under: uncultured bacterium
Lineage: Bacteria
Description: partial 16S ribosomal RNA
Rfam family: Bacterial small subunit ribosomal RNA
Source: RNAcentral
AACGAACGCUGGCGGCAUGCCUAACACAUGCAAGUCGAACGAGAUCUUCGGGUCUAGUGGCGCACGGGUGCGUAACGCGUGGGAAUCUGCCCUUUGGUUCGGAAUAACAGGUGGAAACGACUGCUAAUACCGGAUGAUGACGAAAGUCCAAAGAUUUAUCGCCAGGGGAUGAGCCCGCGUAGGAUUAGCUAGUUGGUGUGGUAAAGGCGCACCAAGGCGACGAUCCUUAGCUGGUCUGAGAGGAUGAUCAGCCACACUGGGACUGAGACACGGCCCAGACUCCUACGGGAGGCAGCAGUGGGGAAUAUUGGACAAUGGGCGAAAGCCUGAUCCAGCAAUGCCGCGUGAGUGAUGAAGGCCUUAGGGUUGUAAAGCUCUUUUACCCGGGAUGAUAAUGACAGUACCGGGAGAAUAAGCUCCGGCUAACUCCGUGCCAGCCGCCGCUGUAA